This 4435-nucleotide long non-coding RNA is filed under the name Olea europaea (common olive). RNAcentral describes it as "long non-coding RNA (OEUR_LNC001965)". The record is from RNAcentral. Lineage: Eukaryota; Viridiplantae; Streptophyta; Magnoliopsida; Lamiales; Oleaceae.
GAUAAGGCCGAAGUUUGAGGUAAACUAGUUCCCAAACUUCAAACUGGACAUCACGACGGUGCUUGUCAGCCUCCUGUUUCAUGCGCUGCUGUGCUUUAAAAAGGUGCACCUUCAACUCAGUCAACAUUUCACCUCGUUCCAACAAAAGUUGUUCCACAGAAGAACAAGGUGUCAGUCUUCUUUCAAGAGGCAAUAGGUGGGGAGGAUCACGGCCAUAUACUAUUUGAAAGGGAGAAUGUCUCAUUGCAGUAUGGAAGGAAGUGCUAUACCAGUACUCCGCCCAAUGCAAGAACUAAUUCCAAACUUGAGGCCUAUUUGAAGCAAAACACCCCAAGUAUGUCUCCAAGCAUCUGUUCAAGACUUCCGUUUGCCCAUCCGUUUGUGGAUGGUAGGCUGUGCUGUGAGCCAGGGGAGUCCCCUGUGCUUUAAAUAAUUCCGUCCAGAAUGUACUUAUAAAGAUCCGAUCUCUAUCCGAUACGAUAGAGCGAGGAAAGCCAUGCAAACGAACUAUCUCUUGACUGAAUUCCUCAGCAACUUAGGGGGCAGUGAAAGGGUGCUUUAACCCGAUGAAAUGACUAUGCUUACUUAGACGAUCCACUACAACCAGAAUGGUGUCAACUUCCCUCGAUCGUGGCAGUCCUUCGUUGAAAUCCAUGGAGAUAUCCUCCCAAAUGGAGUCGGGAAUCGGUAGAGGAAGCAAUAGCCCCCCAGGAGAUAAAGCCAUAUAUUUAUUCUGCCGACAUACCCCACAACUUGCCACAUAGUCCUUUACUCUCUUCUUCAUCCCUUGCCGAUAGACCUCUCUCGCAAUCCUCUUAUAUGUCUUAAGAAAUUCGGAGUGUCCUCCAAUCUUAGAGUCAUGGCAUUCUUGUAACUUAAGAGUGACAAAAUUGGAAUGGCUGGGAAGAACAACCCUCCCCUUGUAACAUAAUAUGCUGUUGAUCAAGUCAUAACCAUCUUAAACAAUGUUCCCAUUCUGCAGUUCAGAAACUAGUUUCCCUAGGAUACUAUCAGCAGCAACUUCCUUCUUGAUGUCUUCUAAUUGUAGCACUUUAAAAUGGUCAGAGCCAACAGAUUCAAAGCUGGCUGAAUUCUGGAAAGAGAAUCUGCAGCUUUAUUCUCUAACCCCAGCCGAUAUUCUAUGUUAAAGUUGUAGCCCAUGAUUUUAGUUAACCACUUUUGAUGCUCCUCGCUUACCAAACGCUAUUCCAACAAGAACGUCAAGCUUUGUUGGUCUGUUCGUACCACGAAGUGUCUGCCCAGUAAGUAAUGGCGGCAUUUUGUAUGGCGAACACGACGGCCAUCAAUUCUCUCUCAUAAACUAACCUUAGCCUGGUGCUCUAGGGAAGUACCUUGCUGAAAUAUGCAAUGGGGUGGCUAUUCUGCAUCAACACUGCCCCUAACCCAUGACCUGAAGUGUUUGUCUCAAUCACAAACUCCUGGGAGAAAUCCGAAAGUGCCAGAACAGGAAUACAGACCAUGGCUGAUUUUAAAUUCUGAAAAGCCUCCUCCGCUUUGUCAUCCCAUAAGAACUUGUCUUUCUUCAGUAGUUCAGUAAGGGGCCAUGCACUCUUGGCAUACCCUGAAACAAAGCAUCUAUAAUAGCCGGUGAGCCCCAAAAAUCCUCGAAGCUCCUUGAGAUUGCGUGGACUCGGCCAAUUAUACAUUGCCUCCAAUUUAGUCUAAUCUGCAGAAACACCGUUCUCAGAAAUAACAUGGCCCGGGUACUCAAUUUCCCGUUGACUGAACAAGCAUUUCUUCUCAUUGGCAUACAGCUGAUGUUCUUGCAAAAUCCCCAGUACUGUCCCCAAAUGUCGUUGAUGCUCUUCCAUCGACUGACUGUAAACCAAGAUGUCAUUGAAAAAGACUAGUACGAACUUCCGUAGAUAUGGUUUAAACACCUCAUUCAUCAAAUACUGAAAGGUUGUUAGUGCGUUUGUCAGCCCGAAGGGCAUUACCAAGAAUUCAUAAUGUCCUUCAUGAGUACGGAAGGCGGUAUUUGGUAUGUCCUCCAGCCGAACCCGAAUUUGGUGAUACCCUGAUUUCAAAUCUAACUUGGAGAAUGUCUGAGCUCCAUGUAAUUCGUCCAACAACUCAUCAAUAACUUGGAUCGAAAAACGAUCGGGUACAAUCACUUUGUUAAGAGCCCAGUAGUCUACACAAAACCUCCAACUACCGUCCUUUUUCUUCACCAAAAGGACAGGACUAGAAUAGGGACUGAAACUGGGCUGAAUAAUUCUUGCUGUCAACAUGUCUCUGACUAGCCUCUCUAUCUCAUUCUUUUGAACAUACGGAUAUCGGUAUGGCCUGACAUUUACUUGCCUUGCCCCAGGCUGUAGAAUGAUCACAUGAUCCCUCAAUCGUGGAGGAGGAAGUUCAUUAUGCCAUUCAAACACGCUCUUAUAUUUCCGCAGUAGUUCCCUAAUUGGGCUGGGAACCUCAGCUGUCUUCUCCGCAGCCUCUACUCUCAGACUUCCUAAUUCCAACAAGAUGCCCUGUUCUCCUACCUUGAAAGUUUUCACCAUCGAUUUUAAGGACACUUGCGUUUUAUCUAAAGUCGGGUCCCCCUGCAGUACAAUAGUUUCCCCUCCAGCCUUAAAACGCAUUGUUAGGGCUCCCCAGUUCACUUGCAUUUUCCCCAGAGUCUCCAACCAUUUCAUCCCUAGGAUUACAUCUGUAGAGCCAAGUUUUAGUGGUAAAAUUUUUUCGACUACCUCGAUUCCUAGCAGAGAAACCACCACCCCUUUACAAACUCCCUCGCCUUUAACAAAUAAUACAAUCCCCAGUUGGAUACCGAAACUGGCCGAACCUAUCAUUCUCAACCCAAGCUUCCGAACAAGUUCUUCGAAAAUGAAAUUAUGGGUAGAAAAAAUUUUGGUUUACGACUAUAGAUUUGCUUAUUCACCAUGUUCCUGGUUUGGUGCAUCCUAUUCUGGCUGCCAUGUGACUUUCCAUGUCCUGCAACAAUGGUGUUCUUAUUGGAUUGGAGAAAUAUUAGUUCUCUAUUUGUUUUCAACAGGAAUGAAAAGUUGAUAUUGGAUGUGUGGUGCGUUUGAUUUUUCAGCAUGCUGAUUUUAUUAGUGACUGUAGGAUAGUAGACCCACCCACUGGAGUAAGUGUCUUUACUAAGCUCAUGGAGACUCAUCUAUCUCCAAGCAUAGUUCAAUGACUUGCAUUUCUAAUUGAUUUGUCUUCUGGAUGGAACCUAGUGUAUCUUAGUUUGAUUAUUUAUUAAAGGUAAUGACUCUGAAGAAAAAAUUUGGGUUUCCCAGUGCUUUUCACGCUCUUCAAGAUGAGCAAUCCUCUGGAUUCUAUACUUCUAAAAUUGAUCGCAGAAAAAAAAAUCAUAUGCUAAAUGUUUUAAUCCAUGAUCAGAACCUUUUUUGUUUUAGAACCAGAGAAGAAAAUUCUUUAAAGAGUUUUGUACAGAAUAUUCACGUGCUUUAUUUCGUGAGGUAUAGGCAUUGAUUUUGUAUUCUAUUCCAUAGGUUGACAUUUUUCUCCCACCUGAUGAUGCACCAACCUUCUCAAUCUCUUCUUGACCAAAAUUUUGUGUUACUGGUUGGGAUUACAAAUUUGUUAUGGCAUAUCAAAAUGAUAUCUCUGACUAAUUUUCUCUUUCUGUCUCUGCUUUGCAGGUUGUUGAUUGUCGAGUUUGUGGCGAUCCACACUCCCGUCAUCGCUUUGCUUUUGUAGAAUUUGCUGAUGAGUGUAAGUCAGGUUUUUUCCUUUUUUUCUUCUAGCAUUGCCAACUUUUCUAACUUUCUCCAUGUGGAUUUAACAUUUACAGAUUCUGCUAGAGCAGCUCUUAGCCUUUGUGGGACACUGUUGGGUUUCUCUCCUGUUAAAGUCUUGCCUUCAAAAACUGCCAUUCUUCCUGUGAAUCCUACAUUCCUUCCCAGGGUAUGAGCCUCGUAGCCUGGAAGAUUCUUCCACUUGAUCAAAUGUCCAGACUUGCAGCAGUGUGGCCAGCAUUAGGGCGAACUCCCAAAAUUAUUUCUGGCUCCAAGAUGAAUUCCCCUGUAGCCGAGAGUUGUGGAGGAAAGGCAGAAAUGGGCUUAACACUACUAAUGGCCUUACGUAACUGGGAUAGAUGGAACACGGAAUGAAUAGCUGAUGAGGCAGGGAGUUUAAGCUUGUAUGUUACCCUUCCCACUUUCGAUUCAAUCUUAAAGGGGCCAUAGUAACGGGGGGACAACUUCUCAUUUAGGCGCUUAGCCAAGGAUUUCUGACGAUAAGGCCGAAGUUUGAGGUAAACUAGUUCCCAAACUUCAAACUGGACAUCACGACGGUGCUUGUCAGCCUCCUGUUUCAUGCGCUGCUGUGCUUUAAAAAGGUGCACCUUCAACUCAGUCAACAUUUCAUCUCGUUCCAACAAAAGUUAAGUGUUAUACCAGUACUCCGCCUAAUGCAAGAGCUAAUUCCAAACUUGAGG